RNAcentral lists this ribosomal RNA (1408 nucleotides) under Idiomarina sp. RO44. RNAcentral describes it as "bacterial SSU rRNA". It matches the Rfam family "Bacterial small subunit ribosomal RNA". The record is from RNAcentral. Lineage: Bacteria; Pseudomonadati; Pseudomonadota; Gammaproteobacteria; Alteromonadales; Idiomarinaceae.
GUCGAGCGGUAACAGGAAGAAGCUUGCUUCUUUGCUGACGAGCGGCGGACGGGUGAGUAAUGCUUGGGAACUUGCCUUUGGGUGGGGGAUAACCAUGGGAAACUGUGGCUAAUACCGCAUAAUAUGUACGCAUCAAAGUGGGGGAUCUUCGGACCUCACGCCCAGAGAUAGGCCCAAGUGAGAUUAGCUAGUUGGUGGGGUAAAGGCUCACCAAGGCGACGAUCUCUAGCUGUUCUGAGAGGAUGAUCAGCCACACUGGGACUGAGACACGGCCCAGACUCCUACGGGAGGCAGCAGUGGGGAAUAUUGCACAAUGGGGGAAACCCUGAUGCAGCCAUGCCGCGUGUGUGAAGAAGGCCUUCGGGUUGUAAAGCACUUUCAGUGGUGAGGAAGGUUGGUAGUUUAAUACGCUACCAAAUUGACGUUAGCCACAGAAGAAGCACCGGCUAACUCCGUGCCAGCAGCCGCGGUAAUACGGAGGGUGCGAGCGUUAAUCGGAAUUACUGGGCGUAAAGCGUACGUAGGCGGCUUAUUAAGCAAGAUGUGAAAGCCCCGGGCUCAACCUGGGAAUUGCAUUUUGAACUGGUAGGCUCGAGUUUUGAAGAGGGUGGUAGAAUUUCCAGUGUAGCGGUGAAAUGCGUAGAUAUUGGAAGGAAUACCAGUGGCGAAGGCGGCCACCUGGUCAAAAACUGACGCUGAGGUACGAAAGCGUGGGGAGCAAACAGGGAUUAGAUACCCUGGUAGUCCACGCCGUAAACGAUGUCAACUAGUUGUUCGUUUCAUAAACGAAGUGAGUAACGCAGCUAACGCACUAAGUUGACCGCCUGGGGAGUACGGCCGCAAGGUUAAAACUCAAAUGAAUUGACGGGGGCCCGCACAAGCGGUGGAGCAUGUGGUUUAAUUCGAUGCAACGCGAAGAACCUUACCAUCCCUUGACAUCCAGUGAAUUUUCUAGAGAUAGAUGAGUGCCUUCGGGAACACUGAGACAGGUGCUGCAUGGCUGUCGUCAGCUCGUGUUGUGAGAUGUUGGGUUAAGUCCCGCAACGAGCGCAACCCUUAUCCUUAGUUGCCAGCACGUAAAGGUGGGAACUCUAGGGAGACUGCCGGUGAUAAACCGGAGGAAGGUGGGGACGACGUCAAGUCAUCAUGGCCCUUACGGGAUGGGCUACACACGUGCUACAAUGGCGCAUACAAAGGGAAGCGAGCUAGCGAUAGUAAGCGGAUCUCAAAAAGUGCGUCGUAGUCCGGAUCGGAGUCUGCAACUCGACUCCGUGAAGUCGGAAUCGCUAGUAAUCGCGGAUCAGAAUGCCGCGGUGAAUACGUUCCCGGGCCUUGUACACACCGCCCGUCACACCAUGGGAGUGGGCUGCACCAGAAGUAGAUAGCUUAACCUUCGGGAGGGCGUUAC